RNAcentral lists this ribosomal RNA (158 nucleotides) under uncultured Pedobacter sp. RNAcentral's name for it is "partial 16S ribosomal RNA". It matches the Rfam family "Bacterial small subunit ribosomal RNA", at positions 359 to 526 of the family's 1533-position model. Lineage: Bacteria; Pseudomonadati; Bacteroidota; Sphingobacteriia; Sphingobacteriales; Sphingobacteriaceae. The record is from RNAcentral.
UAGUCCAGCCAGCACUCUGAUCAGCCAUGCCGCGUGCAGGAGACUGCCCUAUGGGUUGUAACUGCUUUUAUCCGGGAAUAGACCUCAUUACGAGUAAUGAGCUGAAUGUACCGGAUAAUAAGGAUCGGCUAACUCCGUGCCAGCAGCCGCGGUAAUAG